UAGGGAAUCUUCCACAAUGGACGAAAGUCUGAUGGAGCAACGCCGCGUGAGUGAAGAAGGUUUUCGGAUCGUAAAACUCUGUUGUGAGGGAAGAACAAGUAUGAGAGUAACUGCUCGUACCUUGACGGUACCUCAUUAGAAAGCCACGGCUAACUACGUGCCAGCAGCCGCGGUAAU
This 177-nucleotide ribosomal RNA is filed under the name uncultured bacterium. RNAcentral describes it as "partial 16S ribosomal RNA". It matches the Rfam family "Bacterial small subunit ribosomal RNA", at positions 355 to 524 of the family's 1533-position model. The record is from RNAcentral.